RNAcentral lists this non-coding RNA (24 nucleotides) under Cricetulus griseus (Chinese hamster). The record is from RNAcentral. Lineage: Eukaryota; Metazoa; Chordata; Mammalia; Rodentia; Cricetidae.
UACUGAAGAACUUCAAUCCCACAG